GCCAGGCAUUGUGGCGGGUGCCUGUAGUCCUACCUACUUGGGAGGUGGAGGCAGGAGAAUUGCUUGAGCCCAGGAGUUGGAGGUUGCUGUGAGCUGUGAUGCCACGACACUCUACCGAGGGCAACACCUUGAGGCUCUGUCUCAAAAAAAAAUUUUUUUCUUACCAAUGAAACUUUUUUUUUUUUUUUUUUUUAGACAGAGCCUCAAGCUGUCCCCCUGGGUAGAGUGCCGUGGCAUUACAGCUCACAGCAACCUCCAACUCCUGGCUCAAGCGAGUCUCCUGCCUCCG
Molecule: non-coding RNA, 289 nt
Organism: Otolemur garnettii (small-eared galago)
Lineage: Eukaryota; Metazoa; Chordata; Mammalia; Primates; Galagidae
Source: Rfam